AUUGAACGCUGGCGGCAGGCCUAACACAUGCAAGUCGAGCGGUUGAAGGUCUCUUGCUCCUGGAUUCUGCGGCGGACGGGUGUGUUAUGCCUAGGAAUCUGCCUGCUUGUGGGGGAUCACGUCCGGAAACGGGCGCUUAUACCGCAUACGUUCUGAGUGAGAAAGUGGGGGUUCUUCGGUCCUCACGCUUUCAGCUGCGCCUAGGUCGGAUUAGCUUGUUGGUGGGGUAAAGGCCUAACAAGGCGACGAUCCGUCACUGGUCUGAGAGGAAGAACAGGCACACUGGAACUGAGACACGGACCAGACUCCUAAGGGAGGGAGCAGGGGGGAAAAUUGGAAAAAGGGGGAAAGGAUGAUACAAGCAAGGCGGGGGUGAGAAGAAGGUCUUCGGAGUGGAAAGCACUUUAAGUAGGGAAGAAGAGGAGUAAGGUAAAAACAUGGGGUAAAGACGGUAACAACAGAAAAAGCAACGGCUAACUUCGUG
This 484-nucleotide ribosomal RNA is filed under the name uncultured bacterium. RNAcentral describes it as "partial 16S ribosomal RNA". It matches the Rfam family "Bacterial small subunit ribosomal RNA", at positions 29 to 507 of the family's 1533-position model. The record is from RNAcentral.